This 301-nucleotide ribosomal RNA is filed under the name uncultured bacterium. RNAcentral describes it as "partial 16S ribosomal RNA". It matches the Rfam family "Archaeal small subunit ribosomal RNA", at positions 459 to 759 of the family's 1478-position model. The record is from RNAcentral.
CAGCAGCCGCGGGAAUACCAGCAGCCCAAGUGGUGGUCGCGUUUAUUGGGCCUAAAGCGCUCGUAGCCUGGCCGGUAAGUUCCCCGUGAAAUCGGGUCGCCCAACGAUUCGGCUUGCGGGGAAUACUGUCGGUCUUGGGGCCGGGAGACGCCGAGGGUACUCCGGGGGUAGCGGUGAAAUGCUGUAAUCCUCGGGGGACUACCAGUGGCGAAGGCGCUCGGCGAUAACGGGCCUGACGGUGAGGGGCGAAAGCUGGGGGCGCGAACGGGAUUAGAUACCCGAGUAGUCCCUGUCUCUUAUA